UACAGAGCUUUGUACAGAAGGUAAAAUAUCCUGCCCUCUAGGAAGGAGUUUACAGACUUUGCUGAGGAAACAGAGUCUAAACACAUCAAAAGUUGAUGAGCAAUCCAGACAAGAUUGAGAUGCAGUGAAAUCUUGGCUGGGAGAGUUUGGAGGUAGAGCCAUUCUGGAAGCUGGAGAUGGUGAGGCUUAAGCCAAAUUUGAAACACCAGUGACUUCAGAGAGGAAAUAAGUUGCGUGUUUGUAUGUAUGCAUGUAUGCACACAAGUGUAAGCUACCCAGCUCUUACAUGGAAAGACCAAAGAAAAUACCAAAUAAUAUUUGCAACCAGGGAAAAGACUACCCAAAUUUACUUUAAUCUUUGAACAAACCAAGACAUGCUGACAAACCAAUGAAGAGAACAUAGCCAAGAAUACCAAUCAGGAGGCCAGUCAGCAGCCUUAUGAGAUGGCGGGACCCAAAGCAGUUGGCUCAUGCAGAGGGUGAAAAACGCAUUCUUGAAAGAGAGGAAGCUGGGAAGUAAAUCCAACACAGACGUGGAUGUUAAUAAAUAAACAGCAAACAAAUUUCACUGGCGCUGGUGUGAGCCCCGGGCCUGACUUCCACUUUCUGGUCCCGUCAGAGGGUGUCAGAGCAUUAGCCCCACCAAAUGGUCAUCAUCCACCCUGGAUUCGAGGAUUCAUUUUCAAGGCAAACCACCAAGACAGCUAUUUAUCAUCAUGGAGACUCAAAGAAAUCCAGAAAACAGACAAGUGCCAGACCUAUGCGUGUUUAUGGGGAGCAGUGCCCAGAGAAGGUUACCCCAACAGUAAAUAAGACUGCCUAGUGAGACAACUUGCUGGGUCACACAUGGGAGGAAGUCAAAACUGCCGUCUAACUUGGGUGUCGCCUGAUAAGGGAAAGGUUUUUUCACCAGGUCCAUGCUUGUUUGGAAAGCAAUGAGAAAGCAAGGUGAAUUUCAAGCUGGAAAGAAGGGAUAUGAAGAGCUGAACCCUGGACUCCGAAACCCACAGCCAUACACAUUCUUUCAGCGGGUUGGAGUCUGGGAGCUCUCUCCUUUCAUCAGUCGGCAUAAAAGUUGUUUCAGCAAGAACUGAAACAAAGGAAGGCAUUCAUUUACAAAAGCAAGUCUAAAGGCACAGUGUCUGUUAGGAACUUUUAUUUAUGCUGCACCUGGCAUUAUUUUUUACUAUCUGUGGAACGGGGUUGCCUGUGCCAGCUCCAACCAGGAAAUAGUAUGUUUCUGUAUCCAACACAUAAACCUUUGUCACGUGCGGGUGAACCCCGCACCUCCCACAGCAAUCUCGCUUCUGACGGGAGAAGCUGGGCAGAGACAGGGUGCUCAUAUUCUCUGGGGGUAUGGGUCUGCCACCCACAUCUACAGGUAGAGGCUCGUCACCAGGAGCCUGGGCCUGAGCCCUCACCUGUUUGUGCCAACCCACAACUGCAGGGCGUCCCCUCUCCAAGUAAAAUGCUCUUUGAAUUAGCUUUGCAAACAUAUGGAUGCAGCUGUAUUGAGGAAAUAUUUUCAUUUGCUUCAUAACUCCUGGUCAAGGCAAGAUUUUGGACUAAUUCAUUCGAAAGACUCGAACUUUACCCAUUUGCUUUUUUUAAUCAAAGCAAAUGUGAUCCAGGAAUGUAGUGAUGUCUUGCUGUGUUAAGGACAACAGGUUCACUUUUCACACUCUGGUUCAAGCAGAGAGGAAAACAUGCAGGACUGGGACUGAAUUUCUCUGAAAUAUCACUUGAACUUUCCCUUCAUUGAAUACCUCACCAAUACCACAGGGACCUUGUCCAAGAUCAUCUUAAAUUUCCAUUCCAACUGUAACAAGUCCAUCACGCUCUAAAAGAAGACCAGCUCUGCUCUUAAGCACAUAUGAAUUGGAUAUUGAUAUUUCACUUCUGAUGCACUUAAAUGCUAAUUAUUUCAGAAAAUAAAAGACUGUUUUGAGCUACGAAACCUGCAGAUCCUGAUCGUUAGUCUCAGUGAAUGUAUAGGCCCUAUA
Long non-coding RNA from Talpa occidentalis (Iberian mole), 2003 nucleotides. RefSeq lists it as uncharacterized. NCBI's taxonomy places the organism in Eukaryota, Metazoa, Chordata, Mammalia, Eulipotyphla, Talpidae. The transcript is spliced from 6 exons. The record is from RefSeq and is a predicted model, not a curated record.